UUUGCGGAGAGUUUGAUCCUGGCUCAGGAUGAACGCUGGCGGCGUGCCUAAUACAUGCAAGUCGAACGGGGUAUUUGAGCAAUCGAAUACUUAGUGGCGAACGGGUGAGUAACGCGUUGGUGACCUGCCCCAAAGCGGGGGAUAACAGCCUGAAAGGGUUGCUAAUACCGCAUAUGGUCUA
RNAcentral lists this ribosomal RNA (181 nucleotides) under Anaerolineaceae bacterium. RNAcentral describes it as "partial 16S ribosomal RNA". It matches the Rfam family "Bacterial small subunit ribosomal RNA", at positions 1 to 182 of the family's 1533-position model. Lineage: Bacteria; Bacillati; Chloroflexota; Anaerolineae; Anaerolineales; Anaerolineaceae. The record is from RNAcentral.